AUUGAACGCUGGCGGCAUGCCUUACACAUGCAAGUCGAACGGCAGCACGGGUGCUUGCACCUGGUGGCGAGUGGCGAACGGGUGAGUAAUACAUCGGAACAUGUCCUGUAGUGGGGGAUAGCCCGGCGAAAGCCGGAUUAAUACCGCAUACGAUCUACGGAUGAAAGCGGGGGACCUUCGGGCCUCGCGCUAUAGGGUUGGCCGAUGGCUGAUUAGCUAGUUGGUGGGGUAAAGGCCUACCAAGGCGACGAUCAGCAGCUGGUCUGAGAGGACGACCAGCCACACUGGGACUGAGACACGGCCCAGACUCCUACGGGAGGCAGCAGUGGGGAAUUUUGGACAAUGGGCGAAAGCCUGAUCCAGCAAUGCCGCGUGUGUGAAGAAGGCCUUCGGGUUGUAAAGCACUUUUGUCCGGAAAGAAAUCCUUGGCCCUAAUACGGUCGGGGGAUGACGGUACCGGAAGAAUAAGCACCGACUAACUACGUG
This 486-nucleotide ribosomal RNA is filed under the name uncultured bacterium. RNAcentral describes it as "partial 16S ribosomal RNA". It matches the Rfam family "Bacterial small subunit ribosomal RNA", at positions 30 to 507 of the family's 1533-position model. The record is from RNAcentral.